AUACAUAAGUCACUUCGUUUAUUUAGUUUAGUGAUGUUUAUUAAAUUAUACGAAAGUGCCUUAUUUUCCCAAAGUGUUUUAAUGUAAAAUUACAUAUAAAUACGUAGUAUUUAUGGCAAGACUCCUGAGGGAACAGUACUAGUUGAAGACCUUAGAAAUUCUCACAGAUUUAUCUGUGUAGAAUUUCUGGCUGAAACUGUACCAUCGGAAGGGACCCAACACAGAGAAACUGAUUAAAUCAG
Molecule: non-coding RNA, 242 nt
Filed under: Staphylococcus sp. 8AQ
Lineage: Bacteria; Bacillati; Bacillota; Bacilli; Caryophanales; Staphylococcaceae
Description: tsr24
Rfam family: S. aureus tsr24 small RNA
Source: RNAcentral